RNAcentral lists this ribosomal RNA (301 nucleotides) under uncultured bacterium. Its description in RNAcentral is "partial 16S ribosomal RNA". It matches the Rfam family "Bacterial small subunit ribosomal RNA", at positions 509 to 807 of the family's 1533-position model. The record is from RNAcentral.
CAGUCGCCGCGGUAAUACGGAGGGGGCUAGCGUUGUUCGGAAUUACUGGGCGUAAAGCGCACGUAGGCGGCUUGGUAAGUUAGAGGUGAAGGCCUGGAGCUCAACUCCAGAAUUGCCUUUAAGACUGCCGAGCUAGCAGGUGAGAGAGGUAAGUGGAAUUCCGAGUGUAGAGGUGAAAUUCGUAGAUAUUCGGAAGAACACCAGUGGCGAAGGCGGCUUACUGGCUCAUACUGGACGCUGAGGUGCGAAAGCGUGGGGAGCAAACAGGAUUAGAUACCCGAGUAGUCCCUGUCUCUUAUAC